RNAcentral lists this non-coding RNA (27 nucleotides) under Mus musculus (house mouse). Lineage: Eukaryota; Metazoa; Chordata; Mammalia; Rodentia; Muridae. The record is from RNAcentral.
UGUUCCUCCUGUGAUUCUGUUCCUCCU